This 261-nucleotide small nuclear RNA is filed under the name Erinaceus europaeus (western European hedgehog). RNAcentral's name for it is "7SK RNA". It matches the Rfam family "7SK RNA", at positions 30 to 300 of the family's 331-position model. From Rfam's summary of the family: 7SK was discovered as an abundant small nuclear RNA in the mid-70s but a possible function has only recently been suggested. The record is from Rfam by way of RNAcentral. Lineage: Eukaryota; Metazoa; Chordata; Mammalia; Eulipotyphla; Erinaceidae.
GGAUGUGAGGGUGAUCACCAGGGUUGAUUCAGCUAAUCUGGAUGGCCAGGCAGGUGUCCCCUUCCACCCUCUCUGCUCCAUGUGUGUCCCUCCCGAAGCUGUGCUCUUAGUCAAAGAGGACGGCCUUCCCCAAUAGAGACAGACCUUCUUCAGUCCAGGGUAUAUGAGUAGCUGCGCUUUCCAGCUAGAACCUCCAAAGGAGGUCUCAAGAACUCCCUAGGGGCCAGGCAAAGCACCUGGUUAAGUGUACACAUUACAAUG